Molecule: ribosomal RNA, 273 nt
Filed under: uncultured bacterium
Lineage: Bacteria
Description: partial 16S ribosomal RNA
Rfam family: Bacterial small subunit ribosomal RNA
Source: RNAcentral
CCGCCGGCGACCGGCACACGGGUGAGUAACACGUAUGCAACCUGGCCGUGACAGAUGGAUAACCGGGAGAAAUCCCGCCUAAUACAACAUAAUGCCGGGAGGGGACAUCCCCUGCCGGCCAAAGGGGGCGACCCCGGUCACGGAUGGGCAUGCGGCGCAUUAGGUAGUUGGUGGGGCAACGGCCCACCAAGCCGACGAUGCGUAGGGGUUCUGAGAGGAAGGUCCCCCACAUUGGAACUGAGACACGGUCCAAACUCCUACGGGAGGCAGCAG